GGCCCUCGCGCGUCCCCUGCCGGGAGAAGGAGCCCUGGUCUCCCGCGGCCAGGGCCUCUCGGCCUCCCCAGUCGCGGGCUCGGACAGCACUGCUUCCAGCGAUGGCCAAAGUCUGUGAAGGCCUUCCCCAGCGAGCAGCUUCUUUCCCUGGGUCGAAGGAAUGUCAGCUGGAUGUCCAAACUAAACUGUGUGCAGAAUGUGGUGCUGAUUGAAUCGCGCCCCCCUCUCAGAGAUAUGUUGACGUCCUAACCUACGGUGGCAGCGAUCGUGAAAUUAUUUGGAAAUAGUCUUUGCCGAUGUAAUCAAGCGAGCUCAUUGGAAUGCGCCCUUCCUAUUCAACGUGACUGGCAUCCUCAUAACAAGGGGAAAUGCAUGUGAAAAUAGAAAUACACGAGGAGGCCAUGUGAGGACAGAGGCGGAGGUUAAAGUGGCUGCAAGCCUAGGAAUGCCAAGAUCCUUGGCCACAAGCAGAAGCUAGAAAGAGACAAGGAAGACUUCUCCCCAAAAGGUUGUUCCUGCCCUGACACCUGGAUUUUGGACUUGGAGUUGCCAAAACUGACAUGACGUCUUUCUGUUGUUUCAAGUCAUCAAGUGCUUCCCUAAGGUUUGGCUAGGAAGACUUCCACAACUGUAGGGAAGGAGGAGAGGAG
This 650-nucleotide long non-coding RNA is filed under the name Heterocephalus glaber (naked mole-rat). RNAcentral's name for it is "lncRNA (ENSHGLG00000047448.1)". Lineage: Eukaryota; Metazoa; Chordata; Mammalia; Rodentia; Bathyergidae. The record is from RNAcentral.